CUGAAGUGGAUGAGGAUGUUUUUGAGCUCCCUUUGAAAGGUCUGAACCUUGGUGUGCUAGAGAUUUGUGAAGCACAAAAUCUCAAUCCAGAAGGUAAGUUUUUUUUAAGUGUCAUUUGGUUAUUUUUGUGAACUAUUUUUGGUCAUUCCUAUGGGUUUGACUGGAUAAUAGGGAUAGAAAUUGCUUUCCAGAGCAGUAUAGACAUGUUGAUGUCCAUUCGAUAUCACCAAUCUAGGAUGAGAUCAUCAAAGCAUUCACCUUUGUACCAUUUCACACAUGUGGAAACAUCCUAACAUCUUAUAUUAAUUGGUUCAAUAUAAGUGCACCUCCUCCUGCCGUCAGUGUUUGGUAAGCUUACUCUGGAAGUAUUAAUACGGUUGCAAAUAAGAAGUUUUGGUAGCUUAUGUUUAUUUUACUUUUUCUUUUAGGAUGGGACAGUGACAUGUCAUCCAUUUUGAUCCUAGUGCACCUCCUGCUACCGUCAUCUCAUGGGCACAAGAGACCAGGAAAGCUCUCAGCCAGACAAACCAGUGAACAUCUUGUGAAGUUUGUCAAGACAGGAACCAGCAUCCAGGAGCACCUUGAUGGCAUCGCAGAAAGCCGUCAACCAUCCCUGCUUGCAGUAGGGACUCAGAGGAGCGUGAUUCACAAGUACUUCAUUGUGAUUGACAAACAUGCCAUUCCUUGUAAAUCACAAGGUUCUCUUGCCUGUUUUGAUGAGAUUUUUAUGGUCAUCUUCUUUAAAAAACAGUUGAAAAGUUGAAGUGAAAUGCCAGUUUUCCACAAGAUCUACAAUGUUGUUAAAGUUGAGAGGUUACUGUUUGUUACAUUUGCUCUGCAAACAGUGUGUCUGAAUGAGCAUUUCAGUGCUUUCCAAGUUUUGUGUACAAGAGACGGACCUCAUGUUAUUUAUGUAGAAGAGCUUUACUGUUUCAGAGCUGUUGAUUUACAGGUGUCAUACUGUCAUGAAGAUGCAAAUGUUUAUAUUGUUCCAUACUGUUUCCUGUGAACAAUAAAAAUGGCUGUUCAAAUACUGA
Xiphophorus couchianus (Monterrey platyfish) is the source of this 1037-nucleotide long non-coding RNA. RefSeq lists it as uncharacterized. The record is from RefSeq and is a predicted model, not a curated record. The transcript has 2 exons. Lineage: Eukaryota; Metazoa; Chordata; Actinopteri; Cyprinodontiformes; Poeciliidae.